RNAcentral lists this ribosomal RNA (484 nucleotides) under uncultured bacterium. RNAcentral describes it as "partial 16S ribosomal RNA". It matches the Rfam family "Bacterial small subunit ribosomal RNA", at positions 30 to 507 of the family's 1533-position model. The record is from RNAcentral.
AUUGAACGCUGGCGGCAGGCCUAACACAUGCAAGUCGAGCGGAUGAAGGGAGCUUGCUCCUGGAUUCAGCGGCGGACGGGUGAGUAAUGCCUAGGAAUCUGCCUGGUAGUGGGGGAUAACGUCCGGACACGGGCGCUAAUACCGCAUACGUCCUGAGGGAGAAAGGGGGGGAUCUUCGGACCUCACGCUAUCAGAUGAGCCUAGGUCGGAUUAGCUAGUUGGUGGGGUAAAGGCCUACCAAGGCGACGAUCCGUAACUGGUCUGAGAGGAUGAUCAGUCACACUGGAACUGAGACACGGUCCAGACUCCUACGGGAGGCAGCAGUGGGGAAUAUUGGACAAUGGGCGAAAGCCUGAUCCAGCCAUGCCGCGUGUGUGAAGAAGGUCUUCGGAUUGUAAAGCACUUUAAGUUGGGAGGAAGGGCAGUAAGUUAAUACCUUGCUGUUUUGACGUUACCAACAGAAUAAGCACCGGCUAACUUCGUG